Molecule: non-coding RNA, 859 nt
Organism: Ictidomys tridecemlineatus (thirteen-lined ground squirrel)
Lineage: Eukaryota; Metazoa; Chordata; Mammalia; Rodentia; Sciuridae
Source: RefSeq, a predicted model, not a curated record
AUGGAGAAGUCUCGUGCCAUCUGCAGGCUCCCUCCAGGGUUUCCAAAGAGAAAACAGAGAAAGAAGAAGAGAACCUGAAGAGCCAUCAGGCCUUGAGCUCUCCUGUCCCUCUCUGAUCUUCUCAAGUGCAGAGGCCCCCUCUUUCGUUGCGGACUGAUCAGUCCAACCAGCACAACUGUGGAGGAGGAAGAGUUGAUCCAGGGCUCCUGAUUUCAGAGUUCUCAAUCCUCAGAAGGCCAGCGCCAUUCCUCAGGGCUCCAGGUGAGGCAGAACAUCAUGGGGGAAGAGAGCGGCAGAGGGAAGCAGCUCACACCAUGGUGACCAGGAAGCAGAGAGAGGCUCCCCUCUUCAGAUACAGAAUAUGCACCCCAGAUCCACGCCCCAAUGACUCACCUCCUCCAGCCACACCCCACCUGCCUCUGGCCACCACCCAGUUAAUCCCAUCAGGGACUAGUUCACUGAUUAGGUUAGGGCUGUGGCCCAAUCAUUUGUCCUUCAAAUGAGCUUUUUGGGGAUGGGGAGGCACCUCAUAUCCAAACCAUAACGGCAUAUGUAGAUAUAUAUGGAGCAAGCCAGAGAGAGAGACGAGGUAUCUCUACAUAUAAAUUCAAUGAAUCAUCAAACUGACCCUCUAAGAUAGGCAUCACUACUGUCUCCCUUUUAGAGAUGGAAAGUCGAGGCAGAGGCGGAGCUAGAGCCCAGGCAAUCCCCUCCUGUUCACGUCCACUAACUGACCUUCAUUCCUAAGCUUUUCAUUAUGAACUUCCUUCACUACUCACCAGAUUAUUCAGAUUAUUUUCAAGAUUCCAGUUCUGAAAUGCAAGGUGUUGAACACCUAUAAUCCCAGGGGCUCAGUAGG